GACGAACGCUGGCGGCGUGCCUAAUACAUGCAAGUUGAGCGCUGAAGGUUGGUACUUGUACCAACUGGAUGAGCAGCGAACGGGUGAGUAACGCGUGGGGAAUCUGCCUUUGAGCGGGGGACAACAUUUGGAAACGAAUGCUAAUACCGCAUAAAAACUUUAAACACAAGUUUUAAGUUUGAAAGAUGCAAUUGCAUCACUCAAAGAUGAUCCCGCGUUGUAUUAGCUAGUUGGUGAGGUAAAGGCUCACCAAGGCGAUGAUACAUAGCCGACCUGAGAGGGUGAUCGGCCACAUUGGGACUGAGACACGGCCCAAACUCCUACGGGAGGCAGCAGUAGGGAAUCUUCGGCAAUGGACGAAAGUCUGACCGAGCAACGCCGCGUGAGUGAAGAAGGUUGUCGGGUCGUAAAACUCGGUUGGUAGAGAAGAACGUUGGUGAGAGUGGAAAGCUCAUCAAGUGACGGUAACUACCCGGAAAGAGACGGCUAACUACGUG
Molecule: ribosomal RNA, 497 nt
Filed under: uncultured bacterium
Lineage: Bacteria
Description: partial 16S ribosomal RNA
Rfam family: Bacterial small subunit ribosomal RNA
Source: RNAcentral